GAAAUGCGAUAAGUAAUGUGAAUUGCAGAAUUCAGUGAAUCAUCGAAUCUUUGAACGCACCUUGCACCUCUUGGUAUUCCGAGAGGUACAUCUGUUUGAGUGUCAUGAAUACCUCAACCUCUACAUUUUCUUGCAAAGUGUAUGAGCGUUGGAUGUUGAGUGUCUGCUGUGCUUUGGCUCAGCUCGCUUCAAAUGCAUAAGCAAUCUUGUAACGGUUCGGAUUGACUUGACGUGAUAAGAUCUUCGUUGAGGAUGCUUCUUAGCAGCCGAUCCAUAUAGGUAGCUUCAAACCCUGCUGUGACUUCUGGUCGCACCAACCCCUUUACAUUUAGACCUCAAAUCAGAUGGGACUACCCGCUGAACUUAA
Molecule: unclassified non-coding RNA, 367 nt
Filed under: uncultured Agaricomycetes
Lineage: Eukaryota; Fungi; Basidiomycota; Agaricomycetes
Description: sequence contains ITS1
Rfam family: 5.8S ribosomal RNA (bases 1-105)
Source: RNAcentral